GACAUCUGGGCAGAGUACAGAAAGUAAGGGAAGAAGAGAGAGAAAAAAGCAUCUCUGUUAUCCCAACACACAUCCCUCAGGCUGCAUAUACCCUAAACUGCCAGAACCACCCUAAAAAUAUCUCUCUAACACUGGACUCCUGUGUUAGUGACACACUCUGUAUGAAUGUGAGCAUUAAGCUGCUCACACUCCAGAGAAUAAGCUCAAAAUGAAACUGUGGAAUGUUUUCCCUUACCGUUAAAGCACUGGAUCCAUUUUCUUCUCUCGUCUCUCUGGCCACCUACAUCAAACAUGCUGUUAAAAAGCCAUAGGAUGUUAUAUCACUUAUGUGCACUAGGAAAGUCACACAAAGCAUGCAGCAUGAGGGUGCAGGUUGAAAAUCUGACAGCUCCAAGGACAGCAGCAGGAAAAUACUGCCCAAAGAGAGAGGGAAUUGCUGACACCGCGCUGCAUGUCCGACACAGCUGCACCUGCCGAGCUCUGCCCGAGAAGGCUACUGACCCAUAAAAAGAGAAACAUGCUCUUUUGCAGGGCAAGUCUUGGCCUUGCCAGCCCACAGAGGCACAUGUGGCACAUAAGAUUGGAUCUGCUGUACUAUAAACACAGACAGGUCCUGAAAAUGAGAAGACAGAAGCUGAUUAGCAAGGGCUGAGUGCUAUCGAUGCUGCAAUCGGACCACAAGGAGUAAAUCCCACUGCUACUGCCGUGGCCUGGGAAUGGCUGGAGGGCUUCAGUACUCGAUCCUCUAUUGGAUCAGCUACACAGACUCCACCUUACAACACACGGCAAGGCAUAUUGGUUUUUACUGCCUGCUGUUUCAGGAUACUUUGAAGAGUCUGCCAAAGGAAUUGGGCAUGGUUGUGGUUACAGAGCUGAGCUAGGUCUGAAGGGACAGCUCUGCUCCUCACACUUCCUCAUGUGGUCUCUGGACAGUCACUUCACCUCUCUGAAUUUCAGUCCCUGACUGCACAGUCAGAGUUGGCAACUGUUUGGUUUUUUUUACAUCUUGCACUGUUGGACUGACUUAACCAGCACAAGGAUUCUCUCCUGCCACCUUUAUUUGCAGCUCAUGAUGUGGUCCACAAUCUUGGCUGAGACUAUGAGAUGAUAGAAGAUACCAGCACUGAGAAAUAAUGACCUCAGAUUAAGUUUGCCAAACGAAACCACACAGCCUGAGCUGAGGGAAAGCACCACAGUGAAACCCAUUCUUACUUCAAGGCUGCACCACUUCAUCCUUAAUUUUGCUGAAUGAGUUUGCCAUUGGAGAGAGGAACAAUAUGUACUGUUCUGCAACUAAGGCUUAAACAGAAACUCUCCUGCCCACAGAUGAUGAGCACAGGCUGGAAAGAAGGUGUCUGCAUGCCACAGAGAAGUCCAUGAGGUCUGCUGGUUUUGCUGGUGCUCUCCCCUGAAUUUGGCCACUGAACACACUGGAAACCUGUGUCUCUGAAGGACCUGUCUGAUGGACAUGGGAAGCCUCCCCCCAGGUUUCCAUCACCUCCAGCAGUGAAAUAAGACACUGCUUCUGUGUAGUGAAGGCAGGGGAGAGAAACCAUUUAUGCUUUCUGUUCCCCUUGCUUUGUAAACAGGGGCAUCCCCCACUAGAUCAGGUUACUCAGAGCCCUGUCGAGCCUCACCUUGAAUAUCCCCAGGCAUGGGGCCUCAACUACCUCCAUGGGCAACCUGUUCCUGUGUUCCACUAUCCUCAUGGUAAAGAGUUUGCUCCUAGCAUCCAAUCUCCAUCUGCUUUAGUUUGAAACCACUGCCCUUUGCCCUGUCACUACAGGCCUUUGCAAUGGAGACUAGGAAGGAAUACAAGAUUUAUUCCAGGAGGAGCCUGCACAACCACAAAGCCUCUGCUUCUUUAGUACCCAUUAAACAAACUGCUAGACUGUAUUUUGGUACUGUGUGGUAUGCCCCAUUUCCAGCUGCUGUUGGGACUAAAAGAGAUGACCUGAAGAAUUCACACAGGAAGGUGUCCUGGUCAGCCCCUAGCCCCAUCAGUUACACUGACCUGAUCUGUGGGGGUGUAGUCAUCCAUGCUGACGCUGUCAAUUCUUUCCAAAAAGCUGGAAGAAAAACAGACACACACUUAGGUAUGUAAAACACUGCCUAGCAGAACACUUUUCACUGCCUUCUCUGCUUUAGACUCCUGCUGCAAAAAAAACCACAAGCCCAGUGCUGAAGGUACAAGCCUGACAAUUUGCUUACAUCAGCUGAGGUUCUAUCUGAGCCAAACAACUCUGCACUCAGACUUAGUUUCAAUGCAGCUCCAUACUUACCAUUAAGCAGCACCCACACGUGGGCCAGAUACUGUUAAAGUUGUAAUUUUGUGAGGUCUACUAAAUAAAUACUAACCCUGUGCCAUA
Molecule: long non-coding RNA, 2369 nt
Organism: Pogoniulus pusillus (Red-fronted tinkerbird)
Lineage: Eukaryota; Metazoa; Chordata; Aves; Piciformes; Lybiidae
Exons: 3
Source: RefSeq, a predicted model, not a curated record